AAGUCGUAACAAGGUUUCCGUAGGUGAACCUGCGGAAGGAUCAUUAAAAGAGAAUUUUGUUUGGUAGUAGAAAUACUCCAGCAAAAAUCCCAACCCUUGUCUAUACAAAAACAAAAUUGUUGCUUCGGUGGGUUCAAGGAAUUUAUAUAUACAUAUUCUGAACUUUACUGUUUGGAUUAUUAUUAUUAUUUCCUCCGCCAGAAGAAAAUCAAAACAAAACUCUUUAUAACAAAUUGUCUGAAAAUAUUGAACUUGAAUAAAAAUCAAGUGAUAAAUUAUUACAACUUUCAACAACGGAUCUCUUGGUUCUG
This 311-nucleotide unclassified non-coding RNA is filed under the name air metagenome. RNAcentral describes it as "partial contains small subunit ribosomal RNA, internal transcribed spacer 1, and 5.8S ribosomal RNA". The stretch from base 1 to 46 matches the Rfam family "Eukaryotic small subunit ribosomal RNA", at positions 1786 to 1831 of the family's 1831-position model. The record is from RNAcentral.